UGCAUUGGGGUGCUGUGCAGUGCAUUGGGGUGCUGGGCUGUGUAAUGCACCCCCAACUUCGACGGCGGCUGCGCGCCCGGUGAGCUGCAACGCGACGCUUCGGGCCCCCGAGCUGCGCCGUCGGAGCAUCCCCGUGCACAGACCCAAGCUCUGCAGCGGGACCUGGACCUCUGCACCUCUGCAGGGUGCUGAGCUUAGAGGAAGAGCAUCAGCAGCAUGGGUGUGGGCCAGAGGGAGGUGAGCACUGCCCCGAAGACCACAGCAGCGCUCGAGGCCUCAUUUCCUUUGCAGUCGCGGCAUCGUCGAUGCCUUGGCGGAGAGCGGGAGGCUGCCCAGCGUGGUGGCUGCAGCCUUCGUCACCGUGGCUCUGAGUGAUGGAGGAUGAGGAGGGCUACACCACGCUGAAUUUUGGGGCAAAAUGCAGCGCCCCGCGGAGGCAGCAAGGUGGUGGGAUGGCAGGAUCCCCUCGACGCCAGUACCUGAUCACCAGUGCCGGGUGGGCUUUGAGCACCGGUUUGGGCAUAGCGGUGAUAAUCCUGGGGCUAAGGGUCUGGCAAUGGCAUGGCUCGGGACGGUGCUAUGCGACUCUCAAUUCGUCAGCCACCGAUGCUGAAAACAGGGAGAAUGGAUGCAGAGGCUGCCUGGGUAGAUUGCGGCUGCAGCUGAAAGCAGCCCUGUGCAACGCACCCGAGACGGAUGACAGAGAGUGCCGGCUGUGUCCUCGGGACUGGUUGCAGCACGGGAACUGGUGUUACUGGGUGUCCCACGAGAGCCGGGACUGGCAGAGGAGCCGGGAUGACUGCGCCCAAAAGGGCUCUGCCCUCUUCGUCAUCCGGAACCGGGAGCAGAUGCACGUGCUCCAGGAUGUCACGCAGGGAAGGGGCUACGUCUGGAUCGGGCUGGCGGUGACAGGGGCCAAAGGCACCUGGACGUGGCUGGACGGCUCCGUGCUGGACACCAAGCAGGCAAAAACAGAGAGAGAACCGUAAAAGGAAGCGGGCUUCAAGCCCGCGAUCCCAAGAAGCUCCAAGGAACUCCAUCAUCCUCUAAGGUGGUCAAAAAACCACCACUUUCAAGUAAAGAAAAGCCCCAAAUAAUAAUAUCACGGGCCUGACCCUGCGUUCCUGGGCAGGUUCCUCUCCGUGGGCUCCUCCGUGAGCCCUCGGUGCACCGCGGCCGGAUGCUUUCGCGUCCUCCCUGAAGGCGAACGUCCUCUUACGCCACGAGCAGAGCUGCUCCUCCUCUCCGCCUCCUUCCAGGCCCAAGAGCUUCAGCUUCUCCGCCAAAUGCUCCAGGUGGAGUUUGGGCUGGAAAUUCCCUUUCCUGAGAUGGUUUCGGUGGCUGACGGCCUCGGCGUCUCCGAGUCUUCCUCGCUCCGGCCGGGAUUUGGCUGCACCACCUCCGCCGCUCAGGUGCUCAGGAUCCGGCCGAUGCUUCGUGGCAGUGUGGUGGGUGCCUUCCUCUCCCCUUUCCCUCGCUCGAGAAGCAGCAGAAGCCAUGGCAGCAUCUCCAGCCUCUCCCCUUCCUCUUCCCCUCGCCGCCUGCACUGGGGUGAACAUAUCAAAGGUCUCAGCACGGGUGGAGGAAGGAGGAGCAGUGGAGGGAGGCUCAGAUCUCUUCUGGAAGUCGAUUUUUGGAAGGGAUGGAUCACCCGCUGGCAAGACCCCCCCCCCCCUUUUUUUUCCUAUUUGCUACCGAUGUGGAUGUUAACCUCUGUCUUUCAGGCAUCUGGCACAAGCUUCAUCUCUUUUAAGUCUCCAUCACAGGUGAAGAUGUCUCAGAUUGGUGUCUCCAGUCCCUGGGGGGUGGGCUAGAGAAGGAGCCAAGCAUCCCACCCAGCAUAAUCAGACAUUUCACCCCCAAAAGCUCAGGUUCUAACCUGCUGUUUGUGCUUCCUCCUCCUUCGGAGUCUGCUAGGAGAGACCUUGGUGCAAUCUUCCCAUGGGAGCAGCAGCCAAGCUGCUUUAAGGGCAGAAAGGCAGUGGGACAACCAGCGAGACACCAAUUCCUCUCGAAGGUGAAAACUACCUCAAAUUGCUAAAUAGCCCUAAAAAAAACACCAACCUGAAGCCUUCCGCAGCAACAUGACCCCCCCUUGCCAUCAGCUUAAUCCACCCAGAUGGACCACACAGGGCGCAAAGCCGAUUUUUAUCCAUCCCUGGAAAAACAUCUCCGCGACGCCAGGAUGCUGCAAGGAGAAGCCAUACGGGCUGCAGGCAUCAUCCGAGAAGACCUGGAGAUCCCCAUGCUGAACCAGCUGCAAAAAGAAAUCAAAUUCUCCAGAGAGGCUCAAGUGGUUUAUUGUGAGCUGGUACCUACCAGUUGCUGAUGCCGUGGUGGGGCAAAAGACAAGAUUUAAUUUAAUUUUAUUUUUUUUACAGGUAGCUAGGAAGAAGCAGACGUUAACGAGGAGUUCAUUGGUGCUAUUAAAGUGCAGUGAAAG
This is an RNA transcript of Oxyura jamaicensis (ruddy duck), 2443 nucleotides long. It is a transcript of the gene named killer cell lectin-like receptor subfamily F member 1, with no coding region annotated. The record is from RefSeq and is a predicted model, not a curated record. NCBI's taxonomy places the organism in Eukaryota, Metazoa, Chordata, Aves, Anseriformes, Anatidae. The transcript has 7 exons.